RNAcentral lists this transfer RNA (72 nucleotides) under Marmota monax (woodchuck). Its description in RNAcentral is "tRNA.Thr". The record is from RNAcentral. Lineage: Eukaryota; Metazoa; Chordata; Mammalia; Rodentia; Sciuridae.
UGGAGAUAGCUCAGUAGCUAAAGCACUUCCCUAGUACGAGCAAGGGCCUGGGUUCAAUCCCCAGCACUACAA